AGUGAACGCUGGCGGUAGGCCUAACACAUGCAAGUCGAACGGCAGCACAGUAAGAGCUUGCUCUUACGGGUGGCGAGUGGCGGACGGGUGAGGAAUACAUCGGAAUCUACUUUUUCGUGGGGGAUAACGCAGGGAAACUUACGCUAAUACCGCAUACGACCUACGGGUGAAAGCAGGGGAUCUUCGGACCUUGCGCGAUUGAAUGAGCCGAUGUCGGAUUAGCUAGUUGGCGGGGUAAAGGCCCACCAAGGCGACGAUCCGUAGCUGGUCUGAGAGGAUGAUCAGCCACACUGGAACUGAGACACGGUCCAGACUCCUACGGGAGGCAGCAGUGGGGAAUAUUGGACAAUGGGCGCAAGCCUGAUCCAGCAAUACCGCGUGGGUGAAGAAGGCCUUCGGGUUGUAAAGCCCUUUUGUUGGGAAAGAAAAGCAGCAGGUUAAUACCCCGCUGUUCUGACGGUACCCAAAGAAUAAGCACCGGCUAACUUCGUG
This 492-nucleotide ribosomal RNA is filed under the name uncultured bacterium. Its description in RNAcentral is "partial 16S ribosomal RNA". It matches the Rfam family "Bacterial small subunit ribosomal RNA", at positions 29 to 507 of the family's 1533-position model. The record is from RNAcentral.